GUAAAUGGAAUUAAAUUUGAUUCUGGUUUAUAUUGGGAUAGUUUUUAGAUGAUUAAAUAUGUAAGUUUUUGCGUGUAUAGGGAUUUAUUUAAAUAAUAUUUCUUAAUUUUAUGAUGGUAAGUAUUCGCAGUUUUUAAUAUUAUAUAGAUUUAAUAAUUUAAGAUAUAGUUAAUUUAUAUUAUGACUAGCAAAAAUUGUGCCAGCAGCUGCGGUUACACAAUUAGUCAAAAUUAUCUUUAUUAGGAUAUUAUUUAAUUAUUUAUGUGAAUGACUAUAAUAUUAUAUAUUUUUAAGUGAAAUUUAAUUUUUAAUUUAUUAGUUUGGUUUAAUUUUUGAUUUAUUAUAAGAAAUUCUGUUAUUAAACUAGGAUUAGAUACCCUAUUAUUUGGAAUGUAAAUUUUUUUCUUAUUACUAUAAGUUAUGAUCUUUAAAUUGAAAGAAUUUGACGGUAAUUUUAAUCAUUUUAGAGGAACCUGUUCUGUAAUUGAUAAUCCACGAUAAAUUUUACCUUAAUUUGUUGUUUGUAUAUCUCUGUCUGAUUGAAUGUUUUAUUAGGAUAUUUUCUUAAACUUUUAUGGAAAUUUAUGUCAGGUCAAGGUGCAGCUAUAUUAAGGUUUGAAAUGGGUUACAUUUAAUUUAUAAUUAUUGAAUUAAAUUAUUUAUUUAAUUUAUGAAAUUGGAUUUAAUUGUAAUGUUUAAUAUAUAUUAUUCGUGAUAUAUGUUUUUGAUUAAGUACAUAUCGCCCGUCACUCUCAUUAAUAAGAUGAGAUAAGUCGUAACAAAGUAGUCCUAGCGGAAGCUGGGGCUGGAAUUAUA
Molecule: non-coding RNA, 816 nt
Filed under: Hoplistodera incisa
Lineage: Eukaryota; Metazoa; Arthropoda; Insecta; Hemiptera; Pentatomidae
Source: RNAcentral